This 434-nucleotide ribosomal RNA is filed under the name uncultured bacterium. RNAcentral's name for it is "partial 16S ribosomal RNA". It matches the Rfam family "Bacterial small subunit ribosomal RNA", at positions 29 to 506 of the family's 1533-position model. The record is from RNAcentral.
AGCGAACGCUGGCGGCAGGCUUAACACAUGCAAGUCGAGCGGGCGUAGCAAUACGUCAGCGGCAGACGGGUGAGUAACGCGUGGGAACGUACCUUUUGGUUCGGAACAACACAGGGAAACUUGUGCUAAUACCGGAUAAGCCCUUACGGGGAAAGAUUUAUCGCCGAAAGAUCGGCCCGCGUCCGAUUAGCUAGUUGGUGAGGUAACGGCUCACCAAGGCGACGAUCAGUAGCUGGUCUGAGAGGAUGAUCAGCCACAUUGGGACUGAGACACGGCCCAAACUCCUACGGGAGGCAGCAGUGGGGAAUAUUGGACAAUGGGGGCAACCCUGAUCCAGCCAUGCCGCGUGAGUGAUGAAGGCCCUAGGGUUGUAAAGCUCUUUUGGGCGGGAAGAUAAUGACGGUACCGCAAGAAUAAGCCCCGGCUAACUUCGU